CCUACGGGAGGCAGCAGUGGGGAAUAUUGCACAAUGGGCGAAAGCCUGAUGCAGCAACGCCGCGUGAGGGAUGAAGGCCUUCGGGUCGGAAAGCUCUGUCCUCAAGGAAGAUAAUGACGGUACGUGAGGAGGAAGCAACGGCUAACUACGUGCAAGCAGCCGCGGUAAUACGUAGGGGGCUAGCGUUAUCCGGAAUUACUGGGCGUAAGGGGUGCGUAGGUGGUUUCUUAAGUCAGGGGUGAAAGGCUACGGCUCAACCGUAGUAAGCCUUUGAAACUGGGGAACUUGAGUGCAGGAGAGGAGAGUGGAAUUCCUAGUGUAGCGGUGAAAUGCGUAGAUAUUAGGAGGAACACCAGUUGCGAAGGCGGCUCUCUGAACUGUAACUGACACUGAGGCACGAAAGCGUGGGGAGCAAACAGGAUUAGAUACCCUAGUAGUC
Molecule: ribosomal RNA, 439 nt
Filed under: uncultured bacterium
Lineage: Bacteria
Description: partial 16S ribosomal RNA
Rfam family: Bacterial small subunit ribosomal RNA
Source: RNAcentral